UGCUCCCUGAACGCUGCCUGCUUCACUUGUCAAGCAGCAAAUGACACACUGAGGGUUUGUCAAACCUCUGUCCCUUUGUGUGCUUAAGGGGAGGAAACUGCUGUUAAUGUUUAACAAAACAGGAGCAAAGCCUUUCUCUGCAAUCUCACGUGUUGGCUUUGAAGGAACCGGUGUGUGGGAAAUCUGGUGAGCCAGAAGUUUGCUCAUGGUAGCCCAUUAAAAUUGAGUUUUUAUUUUAAAGUCACAGGAAGCAACAGUUUCCAAAUCGUUCCUGAAGCUCUGAAGUGAGGCAAUCCUCGGUUCCUUUAGCUGCCUGAUGCUAAAGAACUCAUAGAAGCUGUGUCAGGGACCAAACCAUACACACACAGCAAGCCUGCCAAGCUCAGCCCCUAUCUUGAAGCCCACAUGGGUGACAGGACUGUUUGACAGGAAAGGGAGAGGUUAAAAAUGCACAUUCAAAAGCUUUCAGAUCCCUGCCAACAAAUGACCACAGGCUGUCUGCCAUCUCCCCUUUGCCUGUGUUGACAUAAAGUGGCUUUCCAGCACAAAUCGAGGGGGCAGAGGUCUGGUGUGGGAGCAGCCUCAUUAUUGGGCAUUUAUGAGGUAAUGUGGACUGACAGCUCCUCUUCUGGCCCCAGCUGCCAGGGUGAGUCAGGGUGAGUGUCCCGCUGCACAACAAAGCAGGUAAGUCAGCUGCAGCGGGAGACAUCAUCCACGCUGUGACAGCGGGAGGAUUAACCAACACUGCCCACGCCUGAGUGUCGCCUGCACUGCCCAUCCCGGCACUGAAGGCCCCUGUACCAGCAUUGUUAAAAGGACCUUCUGAGAUUUUAACUAGCAGAAUUUGAAUCACAGAACCUUUCUACUGCCACUGCAAUCAAUUCUGAUUUUACUGUUACCUGGAAAAAGCUUGCUUUUAGCAAAUUGUGAUGCAUGAUGGGCUUAUCCUAGGAAUCCAAAAUGAAAAAUACCAUUUCCAUCUGUUAGCUGCUCUUAAUUGUUUGUCCAAAAAGUACUUGCUGUACAGCCACAGUGUUGUGAAUCACCUAUGUUGAAGUGACCCUGUUUUACAGGCCUAAUAUUUGCUUUCUAUAGCUAAGGGGAGAAGAAAGCAAAUUGAUACUUCUCAUUUACUUCAGCAAUUUCCUACAGCUCCCUCAAAAUAAAAUACUAACACAUAUUGGCAAUAAAGCUCCUCAUCAAUAUGAUAAUCAUAAAAUAUUUCCUUUAUAAAAAUAAUGCUUUAAGAACUUCAGGAGCAACAUAUGGAUGCUCUGGGCAAAAUUUUCAUAUCUGGUUAAUAACAAACAGGAUAUUUAAGCUCUCAAAAAAAGCAGUCAGGCUCUUACAAGAGACGCCAUUCCCAUUGACUACAGUAGAAUUUUAUGGAUUGACUCAAUAAAUCAUUUUUUGCAGUGUUAUUUAGUUAUUAGGAACAUCAUAUCUGCUACAAUGAUAUAUUUAGUUGCGCUUUCAGCACCGAAGCCCAUCCUACCAGAUGCCUGCUGCUCAACAGCUCCAGGGCUCCCUGGUGCCAAGGGAAUGUGGCACAUUCCUUUGUGACACACUGCCAGUUCUAUACACAGGACCUGGCCAGAAUGGAAAUAACUUCAGAGUGCAUGAUGGGAAUUGUGACAAAAGUCACAAUUCAAAAAAGUCUCCCAGGAACUAUGCGCAUUUUUGCAGUAGGACCAGGGCUCACUGUGGCGGAUGCAGUGUUCUCUCCGUCCCAAGGCUCUGUAACUACUGGUGAGGGAGUUGCUCAGUCUUGUCCUCCCCUGUCUGCCCCUGGAGUCAUCCACCCUGGAUGUGAGCACAGCUCCUCUGCAUUAGCCACAAGGUGCAUUGCCAGUGCAGGCAGACUGGAUCACAUUUGCAUGAAUGACCUGACAAUAAAUCUGGGCUGUGCCUACAGCUCAAACCA
This is a non-coding RNA of Taeniopygia guttata (zebra finch), 1924 nucleotides long. The record is from RefSeq and is a predicted model, not a curated record. NCBI's taxonomy places the organism in Eukaryota, Metazoa, Chordata, Aves, Passeriformes, Estrildidae.